Molecule: ribosomal RNA, 924 nt
Filed under: uncultured bacterium
Lineage: Bacteria
Description: bacterial SSU rRNA
Rfam family: Bacterial small subunit ribosomal RNA
Source: RNAcentral
UCGCCCUUAGAGUUUGAUCCUGGCUCAGGAUGAACGCUAGCUACAGGCUUAACACAUGCAAGUCGAGGGGCAGCAUGGUCUUAGCUUGCUAAGACUGAUGGCGACCGGCGCACGGGUGAGUAACACGUAUCCAACCUGCCGUCUACUCUUGGACAGCCUUCUGAAAGGAAGAUUAAUACAAGAUGGCAUCAUGAGUCCGCAUGUUCACAUGAUUAAAGGUAUUCCGGUAGACGAUGGGGAUGCGUUCCAUUAGAUAGUAGGCGGGGUAACGGCCCACCUAGUCUUCGAUGGAUAGGGGUUCUGAGAGGAAGGUCCCCCACAUUGGAACUGAGACACGGUCCAAACUCCUACGGGAGGCAGCAGUGAGGAAUAUUGGUCAAUGGGCGAGAGCCUGAACCAGCCAAGUAGCGUGAAGGAUGACUGCCCUAUGGGUUGUAAACUUCUUUUAUAAAGGAAUAAAGUCGGGUAUGCAUACCCGUUUGCAUGUACUUUAUGAAUAAGGAUCGGCUAACUCCGUGCCAGCAGCCGCGGUAAUACGGAGGAUCCGAGCGUUAUCCGGAUUUAUUGGGUUUAAAGGGAGCGUAGAUGGAUGUUUAAGUCAGUUGUGAAAGUUUGCGGCUCAACCGUAAAAUUGCAGUUGAUACUGGAUAUCUUGAGUGCAGUUGAGGCAGGCGGAAUUCGUGGUGUAGCGGUGAAAUGCUUAGAUAUCACGAAGAACUCCGAUUGCGAAGGCAGCCUGCUAAGCUGCAACUGACAUUGAGGCUCGAAAGUGUGGGUAUCAAACAGGAUUAGAUACCCUGGUAGUCCACACGGUAAACGAUGAAUACUCGCUGUUUGCGAUAUACGGCAAGCGGCCAAGCGAAAGCGUUAAGUAUUCCACCUGGGGAGUACGCCGGCAACGGUGAAACUCAAAGGAAUUGACGG